Molecule: ribosomal RNA, 495 nt
Filed under: uncultured bacterium
Lineage: Bacteria
Description: bacterial SSU rRNA
Rfam family: Bacterial small subunit ribosomal RNA
Source: RNAcentral
AUUGAACGCUGGCGGAAUGCUUUACACAUGCAAGUCGAACGGCAGCACGGGGCAACCUGGUGGCGAGUGGCGAACGGGUGAGUAAUACAUCGGAACGUGCCCAAUCGUGGGGGAUAACGUAGCGAAAGUUACGCUAAUACCGCAUACGAUCUACGGAUGAAAGCGGGGGAUCGCAAGACCUCGCGCGAAUGGAGCGGCCGAUGUCAGAUUAGGUAGUUGGUGGGGUAAAGGCUCACCAAGCCGACGAUCUGUAGCUGGUCUUAGAGGACGACCAGCCACACUGGGACUGAGACACGGCCCAGACUCCUACGGGAGGCAGCAGUGGGGAAUUUUGGACAAUGGGCGCAAGCCUGAUCCAGCCAUUCCGCGUGCAGGAUGAAGGCCUUCGGUUGUAAACUGCUUUGUACGGAACGAAACGGUUCUCUCUAAUACAGGGGCUAAUGACGGUACCGUAAGAAUAAGCACCGGCUAACUACGUGCCAGCAGCCGCGGUAA